UCCUCAGUGGAGGUCAGCCAGGGAGUUACAGGGCUGCUAGUUAAUCGUUCCCUUUCCUUAACCUUCUUUUCCUCUUGAGGGCCGAGUCUGGGGACUCUCAGUAAACACCUUGACAGGAAAGCUGGGUAGCACCCCAUGCUGGCCCCUCCACUUUUUAGGCCUGUUGCCUCAGAAGAAAACCUCACACAGGCCACGACUUGUGUUUUUCCCGCUUCACCGCAGUGGAAGAAGGAACGCCACUGGGAGACAAUCCGCGGUACCAAAGAAACCUGCCUCUUUUCUGAUACGGCUCUCUCCCAGUCCACAGCCUGAAGCGAUCUCCGGGACCUCAUUUCUGCCUAGCAACAUCACAACCAAUCAAAAUGCAAUUAGGCCUGGCAGUUUGGCUCAUCCUUCACUGGGAUUGGCUGCUGGCGGUGAGCGCAUCCUAAGUUUUCAUUGGCUGACGGCCACCUGUAUGGAAAUGAGAAUGACAGGGGACUCUCAGCGCCUUCUCUGCGACGUGGACCUGUGGCUUACUGCACUGAAACCUGCAAGCUCAGAGCCAGAACUCCUGGGCUUUUUUUCUGCCUUCUCUCCCUGUUCUUCCGCCAAAGAGAUAUCUCAAACUUUUCCCUCAGCUCCUCUGUCUGAGGCCCAGUCGGAAAGAAAUUCGCAAAAAAUAAGGCGAAUUUGUAUGCUUUUUUGCAUUUUCUUUUCCUUCUCUCGGUUCUGUAUCAAGAUUUUCCCCCUUCCGUCUAAUGCUAUGACAGUUCUUGAUCCUUUCUCUCUUCCAUGUCCAUCCAAGGAGAGGCUUCUCUCCGUGUGGAGUCCCUCGGGCCCUGCCCCCUGUUGCCUCAAACCCUCCCUUCGGGCUCAGCUCCACCAAAUUCCCAAUUGCCCCCUUCCUCCCUCUCAGGAUCCAGGCGCCUCGCACAACGAUCUAAAGCCCAGUUUAGAAGGGAGUUAGAGGGGGAGAGGACUCCCCCACCUCCCCCCAAAAAAACCUCCAUCCUCGCUCCCCAUCCAUUUUCUCUGAGGGAGCCGAGUUUGACAGCGAAUUCAUUCCGAGAGGGGAGGGUGAUUUAUUCUUCAAAUAUACCGACAAGUGCGGGCAUGAUGGAGCCCAUUAAAAUGUUGGGAGAUUGUUUUUAUGAUUGAAGUCUGUAUUACUCCAACCAUAAAGAAAGAGAGCAAGGAGUCAUUAGCAUUUUCAUGAUGGUGUAUUUCUGCUUGUCUCCGCGCCAUCACUCAUC
Molecule: long non-coding RNA, 1235 nt
Organism: Bubalus bubalis (water buffalo)
Lineage: Eukaryota; Metazoa; Chordata; Mammalia; Artiodactyla; Bovidae
Exons: 2
Source: RefSeq, a predicted model, not a curated record